AUACGUAGGUGGCAAGCGUUGUCCGGAAUUAUUGGGCGUAAAGCGCGCGCAGGCGGUCCUUUAAGUCUGAUGUGAAAGCCCACGGCUCAACCGUGGAGGGUCAUUGGAAACUGGAGGACUUGAGUGCAGAAGAGGAAAGUGGAAUUCCAAGUGUAGCGGUGAAAUGCGUAGAGAUUUGGAGGAACACCAGUGGCGAAGGCGACUUUCUGGUCUGUAACUGACGCUGAGGCGCGAAAGCGUGGGGAGCAAACAGGAUAAGAUACCCUGGUAGUCCACGCCGUAAACGAUGAGUGCUAAGUGUUAGGGGGUUUCCGCCCCUUAGUGCUGCAGCUAACGCAUUAAGCACUCCGCCUGGGGAGUACGGUCGCAAGACUGAAACUCAAAGGAAUUGACGGGG
RNAcentral lists this ribosomal RNA (397 nucleotides) under uncultured bacterium. RNAcentral describes it as "partial 16S ribosomal RNA". It matches the Rfam family "Bacterial small subunit ribosomal RNA", at positions 523 to 918 of the family's 1533-position model. The record is from RNAcentral.